This 212-nucleotide long non-coding RNA is filed under the name Nicotiana benthamiana. RNAcentral describes it as "long non-coding RNA (NBEN_LNC002103)". Lineage: Eukaryota; Viridiplantae; Streptophyta; Magnoliopsida; Solanales; Solanaceae. The record is from RNAcentral.
GUGUGGAAGUCCAGAAUUAAGGUAGUCGAUCUACGAUUAGUAUUAUUCUCGUAUUACCCAUUCUUAGAUGUUGUUGCUACCUGUUGUUUAUUUUGUUUCGGUUAACUUAUUUUGCCAGCUGCUAUUAUUGUUUCUCUUUCUUAAGGUUCUCCACUUUCAUAUUUCUUUGUUGUCUUGUGCGAUCCUACUUUCUUUGAGCCGAAAGUCUAUCG